RNAcentral lists this ribosomal RNA (805 nucleotides) under Metarhizium ellipsoideum. RNAcentral's name for it is "partial 28S ribosomal RNA". It matches the Rfam family "Eukaryotic large subunit ribosomal RNA", at positions 106 to 941 of the family's 3401-position model. Lineage: Eukaryota; Fungi; Ascomycota; Sordariomycetes; Hypocreales; Clavicipitaceae. The record is from RNAcentral.
AGCUCAAAUUUGAAAUCUGGCCCCUAGGGCCCGAGUUGUAAUUUGCAGAGGAUGCUUUUGGCGAGGUGCCUUCCGAGUUCCCUGGAACGGGACGCCAUAGAGGGUGAGAGCCCCGUCUGGUUGGACGCCGAGCCUCUGUAAAGCUCCUUCGACGAGUCGAGUAGUUUGGGAAUGCUGCUCUAAAUGGGAGGUAUAUGUCUUCUAAAGCUAAAUACCGGCCAGAGACCGAUAGCGCACAAGUAGAGUGAUCGAAAGAUGAAAAGCACUUUGAAAAGAGGGUUAAACAGUACGUGAAAUUGUUGAAAGGGAAGCGCUCAUGACCAGACUUGGGCCCGGUGAAUCAUCCAGCGUUCUCGCUGGUGCACUUUGCCGGGCUCAGGCCAGCAUCAGUUUGCCUUGGGGGACAAAGGCUGUGGGAAUGUGGCUCCUCCGGGAGUGUUAUAGCCCACUGCACAAUACCCUGGGGCGGACUGAGGUUCGCGCAUCUGCAAGGAUGCUGGCGUAAUGGUCAUCAGCGACCCGUCUUGAAACACGGACCAAGGAGUCGUCUUCGUAUGCGAGUGUUCGGGUGUAAAACCCCUACGCGUAAUGAAAGUGAACGCAGGUGAGAGCUUCGGCGCAUCAUCGACCGAUCCUGAUGUUCUCGGAUGGAUUUGAGUAAGAGCAUACGGGGCCGGACCCGAAAGAAGGUGAACUAUGCCUGUAUAGGGUGAAGCCAGAGGAAACUCUGGUGGAGGCUCGCAGCGGUUCUGACGUGCAAAUCGAUCGUCAAAUAUGGGCAUGGGGGCGAAAGACUAAUCGAACC